AACAACUUGGCCUUUGGCCGAGUGGCUGUGAGAGCAGCGGUUAGAGUUGAUAUGAAUUUCAAUUCUCCUUGAUUGAGUAGAGGAACUAAUUUGUAAUUUUUUUCCUUGUGCCAAAUAUUUAUUAUGAUUGUAUCUGAAAUAUCAUUUCUGAAAGAAAAAAAGGCCCACUCAAACAAGGCUUCUUCGAAGUGGUAGUGGCUCAACUCAUCGUCAAUCCAGCAAAACGGAAGCCAAUAUAACUCAAAGAAAGCCAAGAAGUGAAACGAAUCCAGCAAGCACACCAAUUCUACAUUACAAGCUUCAACAGCAACCCAGUACAAUUUCUGACAACACCAGAAUACUUUUGUAUGAUUACUUUUGGGACCAAUCCUUCCGGUUAAAAUUGGCGCAUUUUAUUACAUCAUAUGUUGUGACAGCGUAAUGAGCACUUCAACGAGCCUUCUUAAUCGUAACAUUUCUAUUAUUCAUCUGCUCAUUAACUGACAAUUACAGUAACAAGAUAAUCCAGAAACAA
Molecule: long non-coding RNA, 514 nt
Filed under: Citrus maxima (pomelo)
Lineage: Eukaryota; Viridiplantae; Streptophyta; Magnoliopsida; Sapindales; Rutaceae
Description: long non-coding RNA (CMAX_LNC004425)
Source: RNAcentral